Molecule: ribosomal RNA, 210 nt
Filed under: Vibrio splendidus
Lineage: Bacteria; Pseudomonadati; Pseudomonadota; Gammaproteobacteria; Vibrionales; Vibrionaceae
Description: partial 16S ribosomal RNA
Rfam family: Bacterial small subunit ribosomal RNA
Source: RNAcentral
AAAUUGAAGAGUUUGAUCAUGGCUCAGAUUGAACGCUGGCGGCAGGCCUAACACAUGCAAGUCGAGCGGAAACGACACUAACAAUCCUUCGGGUGCGUUAAUGGGCGUCGAGCGGCGGACGGGUGAGUAAUGCCUAGGAAAUUGCCUUGAUGUGGGGGAUAACCAUUGGAAACGAUGGCUAAUACCGCAUAAUGCCUACGGGCCAAAGAG